GGCGGAUCAGGGUGGAGGGAUCCCCAGCACCAAGGAAGUCCGGCGCUGGAGAAAGGUAAGUGCUGAAGGGGUUUUAAACACACACACUCUCACGAACAGACUCAUACAAACUAGCUUACAGACACACACAUUUACUGACAGAGACACACUCAGCGACAUACAGACAUACACACUCACUGACAGACAGACACACAUACACACUCACUUACAAAACAUACACUCUCACUGACAAAC
Molecule: non-coding RNA, 234 nt
Organism: Pelobates cultripes (western spadefoot toad)
Lineage: Eukaryota; Metazoa; Chordata; Amphibia; Anura; Pelobatidae
Source: the annotation of a GenBank genome assembly